Strongylocentrotus purpuratus (purple sea urchin) is the source of this 849-nucleotide long non-coding RNA. RefSeq lists it as uncharacterized. NCBI's taxonomy places the organism in Eukaryota, Metazoa, Echinodermata, Echinoidea, Camarodonta, Strongylocentrotidae. The record is from RefSeq and is a predicted model, not a curated record. The transcript has 3 exons.
UGGGAUAAAAACAGCCUCCGACCAUUUACUCACACCAUUUUGCCUUCUCAUCGUCGAAUACUACGCUGCUAGGGAGAAGAUCGUUUAAUCGGGAAGUAAUAUUCAUCUUUGGCAGAGUUCAUCACUUUGCUUUCGGUGGAGUUUAUCAGUUGUGCUUCGGCGGAGUUUCUCAAUUGUGUAACGACGGAGUUUAUCAAUUUUUUUUUCGGCGGAGUUUAUCACCUGUUUGCGCCAUAAUUCUUUUCAAUCAUCAAUAUUUCUGGUGCUUCAGGUCCCACCUCUGACGUCACAAUGUCACGACCUCUCUUCGUUCUCGUUCUAUGUAUUAUGUCAUUAACGAUUACACUGCCACAUGUAUCAGCCUCCCCUCUAUAUCAGCUCGAUGCACUAUCACUGAACGAGCCUGACACAACACAGUUUGAAGUAGAAACCAGGGGAUACCGAUCCGACAGAAGAAAUUCUUUAUUACAAGGUAGAUCUCGUAUGUGUUUCGCUUCUGCGAGUCUAAUCUGCGUGUGUGAUCUGCAAGGACGACUCAAGGGGUGUUUUAGGGGAACGUCCGCUGUUAUGGCUGCUCGAGGAAUCGGUGUAUGAUUGUCCGACGACCUCAUGGCAAUUAUUACAACACUAAUGACAAUAGCAAGCAUUCUGUUCGUUUAGCUUCUCAUGUUUCUUGAGGAUUACCUGAUAUAUCAUGGUAUUUGACAGCCAGGAUACUGUCUACUUGUCCUGGAUACAGUCAUUUAAGCUCAUUACAGGACCACGUACGUCAACACUUUAUGAUGACUUGUGUCAAAUCUUCGUUGUUCUGUUAUAGACGUAGAAAAGCGGACCAAUAGGUUUUCGCGA